RNAcentral lists this ribosomal RNA (478 nucleotides) under uncultured anaerobic ammonium-oxidizing bacterium. RNAcentral's name for it is "bacterial SSU rRNA". It matches the Rfam family "Bacterial small subunit ribosomal RNA", at positions 364 to 832 of the family's 1533-position model. The record is from RNAcentral.
UUUCGCAAUGCCCGAAAGGGUGACGAAGCGACGCCGCGUGGGUGAGGAAGGCCUUCGGGUUGUAAAGCCCUGUCAGGAGUUAAGAAAUAUAGGUACGCUAAUAUCGUAACUAUUUGACAAAGGCUCCAAAGGAAGCCACGGCUAACUCUGUGCCAGCAGCCGCGGUAAUACAGAGGUGGCAAGCGUUGUUCGGAAUUAUUGGGCGUAAGGAGCACGUAGGUGGAUUUGUAAGUCAGGUGUGAAAGCCUUCUGUUCAACGGAAGAAUUGCAUCUGAAACUACAAACCUUGAGUAUAGGAGGGGAGAAUGGAACUUCUGGUGGAGCGGUGAAAUGCGUAGAUAUCAGAAGGAACGCCGGCGGCGAAAGCGAUUCUCUGGCCUAUUACUGACACUCAGUGUGCGAAAGCUAGGGGAGCAAACGGGAUUAGAUACCCCGGUAGUCCUAGCCGUAAACGAUGGGCACUAAGUAGAGGGGUUUU